RNAcentral lists this long non-coding RNA (31107 nucleotides) under Citrus sinensis (sweet orange). RNAcentral's name for it is "long non-coding RNA (CSIN_LNC004426)". The record is from RNAcentral. Lineage: Eukaryota; Viridiplantae; Streptophyta; Magnoliopsida; Sapindales; Rutaceae.
UUCAUUCUAAUUUCUACCUUUAUCAUUUCUAUAAAAUUAAGAAUAAAUAAGGGAAAAAAGAGAAGUAAAUUUGAAGACUGGACUUCAAGAAGAAUUUCUGGAAACAAAGUGAUUUGAUUAUUACGAUUGUCUCUCCCCUAUAACACAAUUUUUACACUUGCAGGGAGGACUUUAGACUGUAAAGAACUAGAAAAAGGAGGAUUUAGGGCAACAAUCGAAAAAUAGAAGACAGAAAAGGCUAGGAAAGAAAAGAAAAAACAAAAAAAAAAAAAAAGAAGGAAAGAAAAGAACUAAUAACAAGGAUAAGUUUUCCGUUUAGGGCUGUAAAACCAUACCUGUAGCCAUUCUUUCAAAACCACUAAUAGAUCAUAGGUUUUUACCCAUGAAUCCUCUACACUGUAGAACAUCGUCCUUUUCUAGCUCUUCUUCCGGGAAGACUAGUGAUUCAAAGCAUGUUGUGAGUUCAGAAGAAUUCGUUAUUGAGAACUUUGAUAAAGCAAUUGAUUGUUGGGAACUUCCAAAAAUUUCCAAAGAAAAGAUUUACAAAACAAAAAUGCUUGAUAUUUUAAAACAUGAUUAUAUUAUAAAGACUGAAGAACGUGACAUAACUCUUUCAGAGCCUUUUGAAACAAUUUAUUUGUUUUCAGAAAAAUCUUUAAAGAAAUUAAAAGAAAAGAAUUUCAAAUACAUUCACAUUGGUCUUAUCCAAGUCGGAAUAAAGCCUUUAACAAAAGAAGGUCUUGACACUUCCAUUUUAGCUGUCUUAAGAGAUGGGCGAUUCAUCUCUUUCGAUGAUUCAUUGCUAAGUAGCAUCGAAUCUAGUCUCUGUAAAGGUCCAAUUUCUUUUGAUUGUUAUCGUAAUAUAACAAUUUCUCUUAAAGACAAAAAUAUUUUAAAAAGCAUGAUUUUACAACUGCUGUACCGUACAUCCGCCUUGGCCGUACAGCAGCAUGCCAUCAUUUUGGGAACUCCUUUUAUAAAUCUUAUAACUCCAUAUACUGUCAAUUAUGAUAGUAUAUCCUUCAAAGCAACAAAUAAGAGACUUGUUUUCCCUUUUAUUGAAAAACCCAAAACAAGGAAUUUGAAUAUUGUCAAAGCUUGUUCUGUUUACCAAAACAAAAUUAAUGCCAUUCUUAUGUCCAAACGAGAUGAUUUAUUUUGUUUACAAAAAGAUUUGUAUUUCCAAAGAAUUGGAAGUCAAUUACAAAAUGACUUUAUACAAAGAAAAAUCUCCGAUUUCAAAAGCCUUAUUGAAAAAGAAAUAUGUGCCGAUUUACCAUCUGCUUUUUGGAAUAGAAAACAACAUUUGGUAGAUUUGCCUUAUGAAAAUUCGUUUGAUGAAAAGCAAAUACCUACCAAAGCGCGUCCAAUCCAAAUGAAUAUGGAAUUGGAACAACAUUGUAAAAAUGAAAUAAAUGAUCUUGAAACUAAAGGACUCAUUGUAAAAUCCAGAUCACCUUGGUCUUGUGCCGCUUUUUAUGUUAAUAAAAAUUCUGAAAUAGAAAGAGGCGUACCUAGACUUGUGAUAAACUACAAACCUUUGAAUAAAGCUUUAAAAUGGAUUAGGUACCCAAUACCUAAUAAAAAAGAUUUGCUCCAAAAACUUUGUUCAGCUUUCAUUUUUUCUAAAUUUGAUAUGAAGUCUGGUUUUUGGCAAAUACAAAUUCACCCUAAAGAUCGAUAUAAAACAGCUUUUACUGUUCCCUUUGGACAAUACGAAUGGACAGUAAUGUCUUUUGGUUUGAAAAAUGCACCCUCAGAAUUUCAAAGAAUCAUGAACGAUAUAUAUAUAUAUAAGUUUGAGUAAAUUUUUAUAGUACUUUUAAGAUUAAUUUGUUAAAUUAUCAAUUUUCUUUUAAUUAACGUCUCAAAAAUAUUGUUGUAAGGGUAUUAUUAUAAAAAAAAAAGAGUAAAAGUGUAAAGUUCCGUUAGGUAUAACUUUUCAAAUAGAGCUUAUUUAAAAAUAGAGUUUUUAUUCAAAAAAUUUUAGUUGUUUGCUUGUUCAUGAGAGCUUUUAUUAAAACUUAUAAACUUAUUUUAAUAAGUUUUUUAAUGAAUAAAAUUAUUAAAAAGAGUAAAAGGUAUUUUGGACAUUAUAACAUUUAGAAAAACUUUUCAACAUCUAUUUCUAAAAGUGUAAAAUUUGAGUUUUUACUAGUAAAGACAAUAUAACUUACUUAAUUUUCAAAAACACUACUAAAAAAAAAGAAAAAUAAUAUAAAAAUAACAGCUUAAACAAAUACUAACAUAUUUAACAAUAGAGAUGUCUUGAAUUUUUUUUUAAAAUAUAAGAAUUAAAUAAAUAUUUAAUUCAAAAUAAAAAAACUAAUUAAAUAUUUACCCACUUAAGGAGUUACAAGCGCGAUUGUUAAUCAAGAAAAAUUAGAAUAGAAAAAUUUGUUUAUUUAUAGUAUACUACGAGGGGGCUUGUUAUGGUUGGCGGGAUUUCAGUUCGACUGUAAAAGUGUGUGACCCAAAAAGGUGACGUGGCCCUUGAUCGGCAACAAGAGUUACAAGACAAUACGGAAUGGGCUUCCUGGCCCCAAAAAUUUGGCCUUUUUGAUGUACUUUGUUUAUGAGUUAAACUAUUGGCACCUAUUCCUCAAUAUUGUGACAGUUAAUUUUAUUAUAAUUAUAUUUAUGAACAAAUAAAAAUAAAAUUAAUUCCACUUAUGUGUUUUUUUUUUCUGUCUCGACGUUACUCUUUUUGUCGAAUUGCAAUUUCUUUCACUAAAAAUUUAAAUUUAUCUCCUUUUUUCUCUUUUUCUUUUUCUCUUUGUUCGCUUAAAUGCUCUUUAUGGUUUCUCACUUUUUUUUGUUUUUUUUUAAAUGUACAUACUAAUAUAAACUUAGAAACAAAAGUCAGGACCGAUUAUAAAGUAUUAGGGACAUUAGGUAAAAUUUGUUUGUGAGGCCUCUUUACAUUUAGUAGCUUUAACGCUCAAAGUUCAAAAUUUAAUCAAUUUUUAACUAAAUAUUGAAUAUUAACAAUCAAUAAGAUAGUAAAAAAUUUCAAAAAAGAAAAACAAUUAAGAUUUUUUUAAAUUUCCUAGGACUAUUAUUUCAAGAAUUUUUUUUUUACCUCAAAAGUAAAAAAAAAAAUAAAAGCAAUAAUUUUCUUUAUAGAUAAUUAAGUUUUUUUUAGAUAGAUAAAUAAUUUUUUUUAUUUUUUUGGAAAAAACUAAUAAUGAUUAAUAGUUAAUACUAUUAAUUAUAUCUCUUCAACAUUAAAGUUAUCAAAUAUAAAAUUUGGGUAAAAAAUUUUAAUUGUAAGAUAAUUAUCAAUUAAAGAGAGGCCUAAAAUUAGGCUUUCUCAUUAUAAGUAAGUUAAAAAAAUUAAUUUUAGUAUAUUAAGGAAAUUAAAAAAAAGAACAAUCUUCUAACAUAUGAGGACUAGGAGGCUACAAUGAGGCCUUCUUAACAUAUGAGGUCAUAGAUGACUAUUUAGUUCGCUUAUACUUAAAGCCACUCUUGAAUUACAAAAGCUUUCAAUAUUUAAAAGACUAGAUGGGUUGGUGUUAUAGAUUUUAAGAAUGAGCAACUUACUGAAAAUUAGAACAUUUACAAACGAAAAGAAUUGAUAUUUAGAAUAAAAUGAAAUUUUUAAGGGUCCAGUUAUGGCGCAACUGUGGUACCAUACCACAGCUGCACCCAGCUAUUGGAUCCAUCUAUAGUGAUAAUUGUGGGUUGAAUCUAAUGGUUGAGUGCAGCUGUAGUAUGGUACUACAGUUGCACCAUAGUUUUGCCCUAUUUUUAAUAUUAAGUAGAGUGUAAUUGCAAAAGGGAUCCGCCUACCAUACCACUGUGGUAUGGUACCACGCUUUUUGUCUUCUUUUAAAACCACUGUUCGAUGAUUGAGAGAAAAUCUAACGGUUGAGAAGAGCUAAAGGAAAAUUAUAGCAACCGGUUGCUCCAAGGCACUGUGGAAAACUUUAAUCAAUUAAUAAAGAUCCAGAUAUUGUGUGAAGGUUCUUAUUUGAUUAGCUUUGAAUGGCCAUCAUACAAAACCCUUCCAGAACCGAUUAAUUGCUGAAAUCAUUUGCAGAGAAAAAAUGUCGAUAAACCUAAUAAUUUCCGAUGGAAUCGUAGUGGUAUUCAGCCAAAUUAGUUCGAAACGACGUCAGAUAAUAUGAAGGCAAACAAAAAUUUUGUGGCCGACAAUUGCAGCACAUGGUGGUUGGAGCUGAAACUUUAGGAAUUAGGCACAUCUGAGUAAAAAAAAAAAAUACUGGAAAGAUGUGUGUUUGAUCGGUGAUGAUGCAUUCAAUCGAACGCAAUAGGUAAGUCCUUAUAUUUUAAUAAAAAUUAAAAAUUAGAAUUAGAAUAUAAAUAUAAACAAAAUCCAUUCUUGUAUCGUCCCCAAGCCUCUCAUCUCCCAAAGAUCUCUCAGUUCCCAAGCAGCAAGCUCUUCUCUCUCAACUCUCAAGCCAAUCAACUCACCGCUGACGUUGAUUGGUCAUCACGCCAAGCCUUCAGCCUCCCCAGUAGCCAUCGCACUACCAAGUCUCCGCCGCACCAACAGCCACGCAAUUUCUCGUUGCUCAGUGCAUGCUCCACCCACAAAACCAGAGUCUUGUCACCAUCGCCAGCCAUCAGCAUUCUCCAACUACAAUAAGCCGACAAUUUUUCAUGAUUUUGUUAUGUGUACUUGCGCUGGAUGAAGCUCUGAUAACUUGAAUCCCUUGCCCCAAAGACGGAUUGAUUGCUUUUGUGUUGGCAUAGCCUUAGAGGUAAGAUAGAGGUAAUAAAAUAAUUGUACAUUGUUCGCUGCAAUUUAGAACCCUAUAUGAAUCACAGAAACAAACAUUUCGUCAAUUGUACUUACCGACCUGUAAACAGCGUUUGUUAUUGUACUUACCGACCUGUAAACAGCACAAGUGUGACAACAUCAAGUGAAUAGUUCAGACCACGAUGAGAUGAGGAAGACAAGCACUGUAAAUAUUAUAUCCUGUAUCCAGAUAGAUUACAGAUGAAAUCAGAUCGAUCUGAGAUGAAAUCAGAUCACCCGUUGCCGUACUAGGAAUUUCCCACGAUUAAGAAGAUUUCCUAUCACUCAAGUUAUAUUAUAUUAAUAUAUUACCGGCUCCAACAGUUGUCAGUUUUUGCUUCUAAUUUCAAAAAUUUAUUUUAGCCAUUAGAUUUUCUCUCAAUCAUCGAAUGGUGGUUUUAAAAGAAGACAAAAAGCAUGGUACCAUACCACAGUGGUAUGGUAGGCGAGUCCUUGCAAAAGAGGCUUAAGAGGAUUUUGGGAUGCCAAUACUAAGUACAUCUAUUUGUUCCGUUUGCGUGCUCUGGAGCAAUGGUGCAAGAAUUUGGGCCAGGAAAGCUCUAUACAAGCCCAACUUGAUCCAUCGGGCUAGAGUACUGUUUCUUGUAUUCAUAGUUCCCCACCCGAAGGAAAACCCUAAUUCUCUGUCAUCUCUCCCACUAGCUUUUCUUUGCGAUCCCAAGGCUUUCCAACGCUCCACCGGAAACUCCAUUCGUCGCGGAAUUCAGGAAAACAGAGAAAGAAGAAGAAAAAAGCAAGCAUGAGACCAAUUUUGAUGAAAGGCCAUGAGAGGCCUUUAACAUAUCUUAAAUACAACAAAGACGGAGAUCUGCUCUUUUCAUGUGCCAAGGAUCACACACCCACCGUUUGGUUCGCUGACAACGGCGAGCGUCUUGGCACAUACCGUGGCCACAACGGCGCCGUUUGGUGCUGCGAUGUUUCAAGCAAGUCAUCUCUUAUUACUUUUAUUUUCCAAUUUCAAUUUUCUGCUGCUUCGCUCAAGCUACAUGUUUUGCAUUAUAUUGCUGUUUUAGACGGAUAAAAUAUUGAUGAAGAUAUUUGGAUUGAAUUACAGGAGAUUCGAUGACGCUAAUAACCGGGAGUGCUGACCAGACGGCGAAGCUAUGGAAUGUUGAAACAGGGGCUCAGUUGUUCACAUUCAAUUUUGAUUCUCCAGCUAGGUCUGUCGACUUUGCUGUUGGUGAUAAGCUUGCUGUGAUUACUACUGAUCCUUUCAUGGAAUUAAACUCAGCCAUUCAUGUCAAACGCAUUGCAAGAGAUCCUGCUGAUCGUAUGUUUACUGCCUACCUUUCUUCAAUUUUAAUGACUUGUAUAUUUCUCCUGUAUGAUGAAUUCUCACAACUCAGUUUCUUAAGUUAUACUUAUCUGUGUAUUUUUCGAUAAAACAUGCCAAGCUUUUGAUCUGUCAUCAUCUUCAUGCCUUGACAUUUAGGUCCAUUGAUGUUAUACGCUUCUUUUUGUUUAUGAAUAGGCUUUGAAAUUUACAAAGGAUCAUUUCUGCUGACUAAUCUUGCCAAUAACCUUUUGUAGAGGGUGGUGAAUCUGUGCUUAUUCUAAAAGGCCCUCAGGGAAGAAUAAACAGAGCAGUUUGGGGACCGCUAAACAGGACUAUCAUUAGUGCUGGAGAAGAUGCUAUAGUUCGUAUUUGGGAUACUGAGGUACGGGUUAUAUUGCUUGUGGAUCUUCUCUAAUACUUGGUCAAAUUAUUUUAUUUUUUGCCUUCAUAACCUGAAACUCUGUUAUCCUCUGGCUCUUUUUCAAAUGACCCUAACUUUAGUUCUUAUUUUGAAUUUCAUUAAAUUUGUUUAUGUUUUAGCUUACUUCUAUAUCAAAUUUGCAGACAGGGAAACUGCUUAAAGAGUCGGACAAGGAAACUGGUCAUAAAAAGACUAUAACAUCGCUUGCAAAAGCUGCUGAUGGAUCACAUUUCCUCACUGGUUCCCUUGAUAAAUCUGCUAAGGUAGUGUUUCUUGAGAAAACAUGAUAUUUUGGAUCAUGCUUUUUGAGAUUGUGCAUUCUGCUAUUCUAGGUUUAUCUGUUUAAUUCUACUGCCUGAUCUUUUCUUGCUUUUCUGCAAAUGCUUUUUCAGCUUUGGGAUGCCAGAACACUGGAGCUUAUCAAGACCUAUGUGACGGAGCGCCCGGUCAAUGCUGUUACUAUGUCUCCACUUCUUGAUCAUGUAUGUAUUGGUGGACUGCAAACUAUUAAGUUUAUGCUAUUGGUCUAUUUAUUUGUGUUGUUCCUUGACAAACUAUUUUACAACUUAUACUGUUCCAUAUCAAGGAAAUAUAUAUAUGAUGAUUUAUUGAAUUUUGAUGCUGGUCCUCAACAUUUCAUAUUUCAUAUUUUAUUUUUUAUUUUUUUAAUUCUUUCCUCUGUAAGACUCUAGGUUCUGAAAAGACUUCAGAUCAAAUGCACACGUACUUCUAGCAAUGAGAUUUACUAUACCUGCAGUUAGAAAAUAUUUACAAUGGUAAAGCUAAUCUCCUCUGCCUGAUAGCAGUCUGCCAGUCAGUUCCAGCAAAUGACAAUUUGACUCUGCCCAGUAUUUAAAUGGAAUUUGCAUUUUUCAGUACAUCCUAUAAUUAUCACUGGAUAUUAAAGUAUAAUAUAGGAAAUGAUCUGGUGGAAUGUAGUUAAAAUGUUUUCAUGGUUAAGCUUGAACCGAAGAUUGACAUUGUUUUGUUAAUAGUAUAUUACAUUCUUUUAUGAAUUAUACGGAACAGAAUGGUACAUAGAGGAUAAAAACAGGAGGUUUUUGCACAAUUGCUUCAUCUGGAAACAGAUAUUUUUAAUCAUGCAAUUCAGUGGAAUUAGGCUAUUUUAAACUUCUGAUAUUGUCAUUAGGUGAUUGGAUCUUCUUUAACUUUGUAACUUACAGAUGGGUUUAUUGUUUUCCCUUUGUGAAGAGAUUCUGAGCAUUAAUUUGACUUGUGUCUAUUGUCAGAUGCUAGACUACUUCGUUGUGAAUUGUAUAACUACUGGAUACCAACUAUGCAACAAAAGUUUGAGCAAUAUGAUAUUUAAUUGAAAAGGUUGCUGAAGUUUUCAUAUAACAAGAGAAAAUUAUUAGUUUGGAGGUCUUAUUUGUUUCUGAUUGAUUGUUGUGUGUUUGUAUAUGAUAGUUGAACUAAUCUUCUGCAUGAUUGGAGGGGACAGUAGCACUUUGGUGUUAGUAAUGCUGUAUAGUGUUUAUGAAGGUUUGCUUGCCAUAGUCCCUGUAUAUGCAGUGUCUAUAGGUGCCAUGUUCCAUAAUUAGCCUGGAGGAGUUGACUUUAUUUAUACUAAAAUUGCUUACUCACUGGAAUACAAUUCAUGUAUAAAUUAUUAUAGGUUUGAUCAUGUCUCAUGCUAACUGAAUAAUGAAAUGAUGCAUGCUGUUUUAUCUGCUCUACCUUUAUUUGAUGCCCUUAUAGCCCUUUCUUUAACCAUCUGGAUUUCAAUGGUUUUGUCCUUCCUAGGUGGUCCUUGGAGGUGGUCAAGAUGCUUCAGCUGUCACGACAACUGAUCAUCGUGCAGGGAAGUUCGAAGCUAAAUUCUUUGACAAGGUUGAUAUUUUUUUGAUUGAUUACUUUGUAUUUCACAAAAAACUGUGGUUGUGGAAUUUCAUUAAUUUCUUAUGUUAUAAUGUUGCUUGUGUAGAUUCUCCAAGAAGAAAUUGGAGGUGUUAAAGGACACUUUGGACCUAUAAAUGCCUUGGCUUUCAACCCUGAUGGUAAAAGGUAUGGCUUUCUGUUAUUGCAGAUACACGUCAGUUGAUGUGGGAAAAGCUUUUAGUCAGUUAUAUAUGAUCAUUGUCCAAUGUCCUACUUUUGUUUUGUAGCUCAAUUAGAAGCUAUCUGUUUUUUGUUAUCUGAUGCAUGUAUAUUUGUGAUCAUGUAUGUUACAUCAUGUGCACUGUUCUCCAUAGCAGGUGAACAAGAUCAUGCAUCAUUGCAGUGUACUUAUGAAUCUCUCACCAAGCAAAAAGAUGCAUGUGUGCAUAAUUAAGUUUUGAUAAUUGAUGGCAUUAUAGUAAUAUUAUUUAUUUUUUAUAAAAAAAAAAAAAAUUCCCAAAUAACGGAUGGAUUUAUAUAAUAAAAACUGUUGCAUAUCAUUUAGUAUCCUUGGGGUUUUGUGCUUGGACAUGCAAAAACCUAUGCUAUUUUGGUGAUAACGAUUUGAAAAACUGAUGGUACGCCUGUGUCUUUAUUAGGCGAUAGUCUUUAUCACCCCCUCCCCCCUGUCUUUUCCUUCUUUCCCUCUCCUAAUCAAUAUGGUGAUUACAUGUUGAAGCCUUUAACUAUGAAAUAUAUUUAAAUUUGAUGUUUUUCACUAACGUUUUUUUAAUGUAAUUGAUAAUAUAUAGUUUCUCAAGUGGAGGUGAAGAUGGUUAUGUGAGGUUGCACCAUUUCGACCCGGAUUACUUCAACAUCAAGAUAUAAUUUUGGCGGAUUUGAAGAUUUUUUUUUUAAUUUUGGCGGAUUUGUGGACGUCAAUUUUUAUCCAUAUAAAUCAGCCUCUGCUCGACUUCAUUUUUGUAUGUUUUAGGAAUUGCAUUGUAUUUGCAAUAUCAAGGUUUCAUUUUCGUGUCAUUUUAUUAUUUUUGUCAUCUGUUUGCAGUUUAAUACAUAAAAGAGAAGAAAAAAAAAUUAAAAAAAAAAAGAAAGAUGUUUAAGUCCACCUGCUAUAUGUGAGGUUUUAAUAUUGAAGUGGUGCGUUCAUUGUUGGCAAAUUUUCCUUAUUGAGUUACUAGUGCCCCACUAGUGUCCUCUUAAAACCCUACCUUUAAGUACCUCAUUAAAAAUACUGAAAAUAUCAUCGUUGGUAUGAUCGCUCGCUUUAAUUUUAAAAUUUUUCUUCUAAAGAUCAUCAUAUUUUCUCACUCCAAAAGGACACAAAAAACACAAUUUUCUUAAUUUUUUUUGUAGCCAGUACCCAUAAUCCCUCCGUACUUCUCUUGGUUAAGUAAAAAUUUAGAGAUUAAAACCAAUCUCCAAUUAAAAGAAUUCGUGUUGGAUGUACAAGGCACGGGAAAAAAGGAGCUACGUUGCAUGUCAAAAGAUAUUCCUGUGGCAAGUAUCAGUACUUUACAUGCAGUUGGUGUGGGUGCAAAUAAGAUUUUUGGUACAAUGGCAAAAAAUAAAUGGUACAUAUGGAAAUGUUGGGUAUACUGAGAAAGAUAUUAGUUUUACCUUUUAUUUGUAUUUUAUUGUAAUUUAUCAUAGAACUUAUUAUACAGAGUGAAUCUAAAAUGUCUAAUAAGAAGAUAUAUAAUGAAUCUUUAAAGAAAAUUUUCUAGUCAAUAUUUCUUUCUUCUUUUUUUUUGAGAAGAAAUAUUUAUCAGAUGUUUCAACAAUGCUAAAUAUUCGUAAGACUUUCUUUAAAUACUUUUUGAUUUUUAAAAUUUAUUAUUAGUGUUGUUAUAACAUUUAUAUAUUUGUAUAGGUUUGAAUAUAUUGAUAUUCAAGCAAAAAAUCUCUGGACACUUUCAAAAUAAAAUGAAGUUUUCAAGGCAACGUUGUAUUCUCGAAUGGAGAGAUGUUCCAUAUGGCAAAGAAUAACUAUUUUUGUGCUUAAUGUUCUUCGGACAAAAUUAUGUCAUUAGAAGUUGUUAAAAACUUCAUUGAAUGUUCUUAUUUUCGAAAUAUAACCGCACGCGAAGAACCAUUUGGUCAGGACAAUGAAGUUUAUAAACUGAAAUUGUUUCUAUUGAACAUUUGAAUUGGAGGCGUCCCAAUAGUUUGCGAUAUAUGAUUUUUCAGAAUUUUUUGCAUGGAAAACAAAAAGAGAAGAGUAAUUAAGUAAAUUGACGAAAGAGGCAAUUGGCAUUUGACUGUAAAUAUGUAUAAAGUGGUGGGUAAAAUAUUAUCAAAUGGUUUAUUGAAUGAAUGAGACAAAAUUACUUUGUGUGGAAUUAUUUGAACUCACCAAUUUUCUCUUUAUACUCUCUUUUUAAUUAAAAAUUUUAUUAUGUAAAUAACUUUUAAUAAUAACUCUUUCUUUUAUUUCUUUUUUCAAUUUUACAAACUCUCAUCGAUUUAUUCAAAUAUAUCCUCUUAACUGUAGAUAAUUUGUAUCAUUAACUAAGAGGAACAAAACUGGCCAUUUAAAAAUGAACAUCAACAAAUUUUUAUCGGUUAUGAAAGCUAAUGAAUAUAAAGAAAUUAAAUUAUUAUAUAUAGAAAGCAUGAAAUAUCGAUCAUGAUUUACUAAGAAAUAUCAAAAAAAUAGAUUAAAAAAAGAGUGAAAUUGAGUAUUUAGUUUUCAAUUUGUGAUACUAGAAGGGGAAUAUGUAAUUAUAAGAUAGAGAAAAAACGAUUAGAGAAUGAUAAUUUUAAGAUUUUAAAUUUAAAUUUUUAGUAAUAAAUUUAUUUUUUAAAUUAAGUAAUAGAGAAAGAUAUAGUGGGCUAAAAUAAACUAUGCAAUUACUUUUUUUGUGGAUUUCCAAUAAAAGUGAAAAUGGGCACAUGUUCAAUUUUAGCUGAUAGCCUCUAACUCAGCUCAAAGUGAGCUGAAAGAGAAUAUUUAAAAUUAAAAAAAAAAAUUGAUCGUAUAUAUCUUACAUUCAAAACAAUCUCUUUGAACACAUCACAUGCAAUAUUGUGUAAUCUUUCAAAUUAUAUAUAUGAUAUGCAUCACAUGGGCAGCUUUCCCGAUUGUAUUUUCUCUAUGUGUAUUUGGAUGAGAAUCCAAUGAAAAUUUUUCCCCUUGAUUUGAUGAUCAUCAUUGCUUUUAGAAGUUACAUUUCUUCCAUUUUCCGAUAGCUCAAUCAGGCUCAUUGGUCUAUAUCAAUUUGAUUAUAUUAUUCUGCAUCGAUGAAGACUUUAAAAUUUACGUCCAUUAAUUGUAGUUUCCUUAACGGUGGUAAUACCGGUAACUACACUCACAUACGAAUGAUGAUCGAUGAGUUCAUUUAUUUUGCCGCACGUACGUAGGAUUACAGUAAAAAAGAUUACAAAUUCAAUAAUCAGUCUACAAUUAGUCGCCGAAUACAUACAUAUAUCAUAGUUGUUAAGCUGCAACAUUUUUUUAUGUUACACUUACCAAAUUUUGUGUUAUAUAUUUUUCAAGUUUCAAAAUAAAGCUUAAAACUGGGUCGUGGCCUCAUCUUAUCACAAAUUUCAAUUGAAUUAUUUCACUUUGUUUUUGUAAAAUUAAUUUGACUGCAACACCUCAGGCAGUUGCAUAUAUCACUAUAAUCAAGACAACAUAAAAUGUUCAAAUUUAGGUCAUUCUUAAAUUAUAUUGGAGGUAAUUUACAACCAAUUAAUUUUAUCCAUUAAAUUUUAAUUCAAUGCAUGACGAAUAGUUUAUGCGAAGCAAAUAACAGCUUUAUGUCCGAAUCGAUCGAGAUGAAAAUUGAAACCCAGUACACGUAUGUAAAUACGGUUGAAAUAGAUAAAAAAAAAAUCAAUGUAAUGAAGUAAUUCAAUUGUAAUCUCAUUUCAGAAGAAUAAAAAUUGUGGUAAAAGUUUAAGUGAAUUUAGCUGACUAUAACUUUCUGUCAUGCAUAAAACAGACAUCGGGAAUGCCUGAUCCUGAUGUGCCCCUGAAAGAAAGAAAUGGUGACAAGGAGAGCUGAGCGGAGCUGACAUAAAUUGCUUUUUUAGAAUAAAUGGUGCAAACAGCCAAGGAGAGCUGAGCUGACAGGCUGCAGCUCAAUUAAAGGGCAAAAAUAUUAUCAUCCAGACAUGGCAACCAGAGCAAGACCAUAGCAAUAGAGACACUUCUGAAAAUGUUCAGGACAAAUCUUUUACAUUCUUUCUUUGAAUGUUAUCCAAUUGAUUUUACUGUAAAAUCCAGAACAAACCUCACAAAUAGGAAAAUCAAUCUCGAGCCCCAGUGAUGGCACACAAACAAGUACUAUUUUCUGAAGAAUCUAAAAAUUGAAGAGAUAGAAGAAAGGAUCAGACCUUGGAAAUGUUCAGCUGAACAUUACAAACAGAAAUAAGAGGCUGCACGAGGAGGACACUCGAGAGGUUUCGAACCAAUGAUUGAACACUAUCGCAUUGUCAUUUACCCCAGUAAAGCAUUGGAAAUAAUAAAGCUAAUAUCGGAGCUGACCUACUGCUGAAUCACAUGGGUGGCUCAAUAAUUUCCCGGAGCUCGUUACAGAGUCCUGUGAAGACGACAGAAUCUGUCUCAAUUGGUCUGAACUUGACAAGUGCUGAAGAAACCAAAUCGUCUUCCUCAAGGGUUAAGCAUUUUUUUGUUGAGAAAUUGAUUGGUGAAGCAGACACGCAACUAAAGUGAAAUUGAGAAAUAUAAGACAAAAGUGAAAUUGAAAAAUUGAUUGGUGAAACAGACACGCAACUAAAGUGAAAUUAAGAAAUAAUGAGACAAUAUAAUCACACAUAGACACAAGAAAUUACAUGAUUCGGCUUUUAGCCUACGUCCACGGGCAAAAAAAGAAGGAAAAUAUUUUACUAGUAAAAAUGAGUUACAAGUAUUGUAGUAUUUUAGCUCACUACUCAAAACUCCAAUACACCAAAACUCUCAAAUCACUAUAACAAGAGCUUAUAAUUUCAAAUUGUUUAAACUCUCUUUCUAAAAUGCUAAAUUGCUUUUCUCUCUAUGGAAUUAAUUUGCUCUUUCUCUUCGUUUCUAUUUAUAGAGAAAGUUUUGGCACAAUUCAUCAAUUAUAUACUAUUUUUAUUAUUUUAUUAAUUUUUUUUCUUUGUCCUUUUCAACCCGUUUCUAUUUUUUCCUUCUUUCUCUUUUUUUUUUCUUUUGUUCCAGUCAAAGACGGAAGCAAUGCCUUCUUCUUCAAAAUGGGCAGGCCCACCUUUUAAAAGGGUGUUGCCCGCAUGCUAUAUUUUUGUCAUUCUCUCACUUGGAGAUUUGACUGCGAGCCAAUCAUAUCUCCACACCAUCCUUUAUGCUUCGUCAUUGUCAUGUUGCCUACGUUUCUGGCUUUCUACUAGGCCACAAGAGGAUCUACUCCAGACAAACUUGUCAGCAUUGAUUGGCUUAGUCAAAACAUCUGUUAUGUUCUCAUUGGUAUGGAUUUUCUGAAAAUCAACACUUCCAUCUUCCACUACUUCUCAAACGAAAUGAUACUAAACUCCUAUGUAUUUUGUUCUUGAAUGAAGGUUGGAUUCCUUGCAAUAUGCAAGGCACUCCGACUGUCACAAAACACAGGAAUUUUCUAUUAUUUGUGCCCGAACUCCUCCAAUAACCUUUGUAUCCAAAUAGCUUCCUUGCAAGCUUGUGUAGCUGCCAUGUAUUUUGCUUCUAUUGUAGAUAAAGCCACAACGAUCUGCAGUUUCGAAAUCCAGCUUACAGCUGCUCCCACAAAUGUAAACACAUAGUCAGUAAUGGAUUUCCUUUUAUCAAGGCUGCUGUAAAAUCUAAAUCUACGUAGCCCCUAACAGUAAAUUUCGAUCCUCCAUAACAUAAUCCAACAUCUGAGGUUCCUUUUAUGUAUCUUAGAAUCCAUUUCACAGUUAUCCAAUGCUCUCCACCAGGAUUCGCCAUGUAUCGACUGACUGCUCCCACUGCUUGUGCAAUGUCUGGUCUAGUACAUAUUAUAGCGAACAUCAAAUUUCCCACUGCUGAUGCAUACGGUACUCGAGAUAUCUCAUUCCUCUUUGCUUCAUUGCUAGGACACAUGAAGAUAAUUUGAAAUUAACAAUAAGUGGGGUAGAAAUUGGCUUAUAAUUGUGCAUGUUGAAACAUUGCAACAUUUUCUUCAAAUAGUUCUUCUGAGAAAGCCAAAUCUUCCUGUUACUUCUGUCUCGGUAAAUUUGCAUCCCUAGAAUCUUGUUUACUGGUCCUAAGUCCUUCAUUUCAAACUCCCUAGCCAAUUGUGCCUUUAAUUCUUGAAUUCGAUCUUUGUUGGGGCCUGCUACCAACAUGUCGUCUACGCACAACAGCAAAAUGAUGAAAUCAUUGUCUUUAAACCUCUUGUAAUAUGCACAAUGGUCUAAACUGAAUCUGUUGUAUCCAAGGCGUAUCAUGAACGAAUCAAAUCUCUUAUACCAACAUUUUGGCGCAUGUUUAAGACCGUAUAGAGAUUUGUUAAACCUGUAAACCAAGUUCUCUUUUCCCUUUUCUGUAAAACCUUUUGGUUGGAGUCAAGUUCUCCUUAAAGAAAUAUAGUUUUCACAUCUAAUUGCUCUAGAUGUAGGUCAAAUGUAUCACAAAUUACCAAGAUUACUCUGACUGUUGUGAGUCGAACCACCAGAGAAAAUAUUUCGUUGAAGUCAAUACCUUCUUUCUGAGCAUAUCCUUUCACCAUCAAUCUUACACGAUACCGCUCUACUUGGUCAUUACCAUCACAUGUAAACCCAUUUGUUACCAAUGGAUUUUCUUCCAUGUGGUAAUGGUACAAGUUCUCAUGUCUUGUUCUUGUCCAGAGCCUCAAUUUCUUCCUGCAUUCCUGUCAUUCACAAAGCAAUAUUUGAACUGUUUAAAGUUUCAUGGAAAGCUGAUGGCUCUCCAUCAUCUGUUAGAAGACAGUAUGCAACAUUGAUCUCUAUGACAUACUCCGAAUGCCACGGUGGCGGUCGUCUCUCAUGAGUUGAUCCAUGAACUUCUGGAGCCUCGGACUCGACUGGUUCUUGUUCUUCGUGCUCUGGUGCUACUUUGGAAGAAUCUGAAUCUUCUGAAUUAUUUUCCACAUAUACCGGUACAAUCUCUUACUUUUCUUUUAUAAUACUAUCAUCCAUAUCUCUCAUUUACAAUUGAUCUUCUACAAAGAUAACAUCUCUGUUGAUUUUCCCACUGCUGAUGCAUACGGUACUCGAGAUAUCUCAUUCCUCUUUGCUUCAUUGCUAGGACACAUGAAGAUAAUUUGAAAUUAACAAUAAGUGGGGUAGAAAUUGGCUUAUAAUUGUGCAUGUUGAAACAUUGCAACAUUUUCUUCAAAUAGUUCUUCUGAGAAAGCCAAAUCUUCCUGUUACUUCUGUCUCGGUAAAUUUGCAUCCCUAGAAUCUUGUUUACUGGUCCUAAGUCCUUCAUUUCAAACUCCCUAGCCAAUUGUGCCUUUAAUUCUUGAAUUCGAUCUUUGUUGGGGCCUGCUACCAACAUGUCGUCUACGCACAACAGCAAAAUGAUGAAAUCAUUGUCUUUAAACCUCUUGUAAUAUGCACAAUGGUCUAAACUGAAUCUGUUGUAUCCAAGGCGUAUCAUGAACGAAUCAAAUCUCUUAUACCAACAUUUUGGCGCAUGUUUAAGACCGUAUAGAGAUUUGUUAAACCUGUAAACCAAGUUCUCUUUUCCCUUUUCUGUAAAACCUUUUGGUUGGAGUCAAGUUCUCCUUAAAGAAAUAUAGUUUUCACAUCUAAUUGCUCUAGAUGUAGGUCAAAUGUAUCACAAAUUACCAAGAUUACUCUGACUGUUGUGAGUCGAACCACCAGAGAAAAUAUUUCGUUGAAGUCAAUACCUUCUUUCUGAGCAUAUCCUUUCACCAUCAAUCUUACACGAUACCGCUCUACUUGGUCAUUACCAUCACAUGUAAACCCAUUUGUUACCAAUGGAUUUUCUUCCAUGUGGUAAUGGUACAAGUUCUCAUGUCUUGUUCUUGUCCAGAGCCUCAAUUUCUUCCUGCAUUCCUGUCAUUCACAAAGCAAUAUUUGAACUGUUUAAAGUUUCAUGGAAAGCUGAUGGCUCUCCAUCAUCUGUUAGAAGACAGUAUGCAACAUUGAUCUCUAUGACAUACUCCGAAUGCCACGGUGGCGGUCGUCUCUCAUGAGUUGAUCCAUGAACUUCUGGAGCCUCGGACUCGACUGGUUCUUGUUCUUCGUGCUCUGGUGCUACUUUGGAAGAAUCUGAAUCUUCUGAAUUAUUUUCCACAUAUACCGGUACAAUCUCUUACUUUUCUUUUAUAAUACUAUCAUCCAUAUCUCUCAUUUACAAUUGAUCUUCUACAAAGAUAACAUCUCUGUUGAUGACGAUCUUGUGAACAAUGGGGUCCCACAAACGAUACCCCUUUACUCCAUCAGCAUAUCUCAAGAAAAUACAUCUUCUAGAUUUUGGAUCCAGCUUUACUCUUUCUUAGGCAUUGUACAUCACGUAUGUAGGACAUCCGAAUGCUUGUAGGUGAGAAAUAAUUUGCUCGUUUUUCAGUCCACAUCUCUAUUGGAGUCUUCAACCCAAUUGCCGUGGAGGACGACUGAUUUACUAUAUAACAAGCAAUUUUGGCUGCUUUUGCCCAAAAUGAAUUACGUAGACCGCAAUCCUCAACAUAACUCUUAUUCUUUCUGUAAGAGUUCUGUUCAUCCGUUCUACCACUCCAUUUUAUUGAGGAGUGUAUACCACCGUGAACUGCCUCUAAAUACCUUCUUGCUUCCAGAAAACAAGAAACUCGCCGCCUAUAUACUCUCCACCAUUAUUUGUCCUCAAGCACUUGAUCAUUUUGACAGAUUCAAGUUCCACCCACGCUUUGUAUUCUUUAACCAUUGGAAACACAUCUGACUUUUUCUUGAUUGGAUACGCCCAAUAUCUUCUGAAAUAAUCAUCAAUAAAAGUCACCAAGUAUUUUUCACCUCCCAUUGACAUAUCUGACGAUUCCCAAAUAUAAGAAUGAAUCAAGUUUAAAAUGCAUUUACUUCUAGUAACAGAUCUACUGAAUUUUAAUAUAUAUUGCUUACUUGUAGCACAAUGUUCGCAAAAUGGUAAGCUUAUUGAUUUGAGCCUUAAAAGAAAUUUUCGCUCAGUGAGAAUAUUCAAACCUUGCUCUGACAUGUGGCCAAGUUGAAAUGCCACAUCAUCGUUGACUCUUCUCCAUUUAACGUGACACACGCAUCAACUUCCUGUAGUGUUUCCUCUUUAAGUAUGAAUAGAUUAGCACCGAUCUUUUCCGCCUCUAUCAAUACAAGCGCGCCUCUAGCAAUCUUCAUGAUCUCAUUUUUAACAUGAGUUUUGCACAUAUGAUUAUCUAUUUGUCCCAGAGACAAUAGAUUAUUCUUUAGGUCUUUGACAUGCUGUAUCUCUUUAAUUGUACGAAUUGUACCAUCAAACAUUUUGAUUUUGAUUGUACCAAUACCAGUGAUCUCCAAGGUAUGAUCAUUUCCCAUAUAUACAAAUCCUCCUGAGAUAGGUUCAUAUGUGUGGAACUAUUCUCUCCGAGAGGUCAUAUGUCAAAUACCUCCUGAAUUUAUAAGCCAGAUGUCAGAUAACCAUUUUCUGCCUUCUGAAACAAUUGUUGUCUCACUGUAGAGAAUUUCGCUAUCAUCCGAGGUAUUUGCUACACACUCCUGAGCAUUUGAUGACUCGGGUUCUUUGUCAUCUCUUCUUUUCUGAUUGUUCCAACACUCUUUCUUGACGUGCCCUUUCUUGCCACAGUUGUAGCAUUUAACAUUCUUCUUACUUUUAAAUUUUGAUAUACUAUGAUUGUGACUCCCACUUGGGCCACGUUCCGUUGAUUUCCCUCUCAUCACCGAUAGCGCCUCCACUUGCUGUGAACUUGCUUGUCAAUUUUUCUUAUUUUUCCGCCUGCUCUCCUAAUUUAAUACGAAGGUUGCAUCAUAAAAAAUUAGAUUGUCCGCUGGAUUGUUGUUCGUCAAGUUGAUGAUGAGUUGAUCAUACGAAUCUAGUAAACUUUGAAGUAGAAUCUCUGCACAUUCAUUUUCCUCUAUUUUAUGACCCAACGUUGUUAGUUUUGAAAAUAGAGUCUUCAAGGUGUUGAUAUGGUUGGUCAUCAAUGUACAUUCUGCCAUUCGAAGAGUAUAGAGUUUCCUCUUCAAGAAGAUUUUGUUGUGUAGUGACUUGGCUUCGUACAAUUUUGUGAGAGUAUCCCAUAUUUUCUUCGCUGUCUUUUUCUCCUCUACACUAAAUAAUACCUCAUCUGUAAGUGUUAGGUGCAGAUCAGCAAUGGCAUUGCUAUCUAUCUCAUUUUAUUUUUCAUCAUCAGUUAUCUAUAUGGGUCUUUCUCCAAUUACUGCUAAGCAAUUAUUUUUCCUCAGAAUUAUCUGCAUCUUCAUUUUCUAUAACGAGAAAUUAUUCCCGUUGAACUUCUUAAUUUUAUACUUUGUCGCCAUUUUAUUGAUAAAUACUGCACACAAGCUAGUGUACCACCCUAAAUAGUUGUGAGCAUGUGUGAGAAUGCACAUAAAGAAAGUUCCCAGGAAAGAUUGGAUGGGUCACAAUGGUCCCACUUAAAAUCUAGACUCUUUAGGCUCUUAUCGCCUUUGUGACAUAACUUUCCUAAAUAUGUACAAAACCACACAGUUGCUUUACUCACACCACUAUUCCCUGCUUUACACCACAAUAUUCUUGAAUCGCUCCCACCAUUUCUAUCAUAUAUAUGAACAGUGUCGUAUACGUUAAUAGUAUCUUAUACGUGAACAAUACAUAGAGACCAAGUACAAUUUUGUAAGAGAAAUUGUAGCACAAAGAGAAGUGCUAAUCAAUACGCAUCUAUACAUUUUAUUGUAGCAGACCCAUUUACAAAGCCAUAACACGAGAUGUUUACUUGAAAUAUACUCGAUCAUUGGGCUUACGUAGAUUGUAAGAUUGUACUUGAUGAAAUAUUAUUUUUUGAGUAAUGGACAUGUGAUAAGUUUUUCAUAUGAUUAAAUUCUUAUUAUCGUUUGUCCAUAUAAAUUUUUUUUAUUACACAUAUUUAGAGUAAAGUUAUGUCAUCAGAUUUUGAUUGGCUUUCUUACACAAGCGAUCGCCUCACUUCCUAGAAAAGCAAACUGAGAUGAGAUAAUAGAGACAUAAUUAGAGACUAUGUACAUUCUCAUGGAGCAUUUAUAAAUGUGUUGCCUUGACUGGGUCAAGAUGAGGUUUAUUUAUAAUAAAUAUAAAACUAACUAUGAUAUACCCAAUAAUCAUGAAAACAUGAUUAAAGCCAGAUGUGAGUCUUCUAAUUUAGCUCUUUAGAUAAGCGAACUUAUUAAAAACUCAAAUUAGGUGUUUAAGUAGCGACUGAACUAAGAUCUAUAUAGUGAAAUAAUUUAGACAUACGCUCUCAGAAAAGAGAAUUCAUUGUAGCACAUAUUUCAAACAAUGUGUGCUUUAAUGACCAAAUAAAGAAAAAUGAGAAAAUUUCCCUUAUUUCUCAUUGUGUAAAGUUUCUUUGAGGUAUUAUAAACCUCAAUAAGUAUCCUUACAUACUAUCAGCUAUAUUUUAAGGUGAUAGAUUAGUAUUUGCUACUUUAAACUUGUUUUCUAAAGCUAUGAUGUUAUUCAGUUUAUGAAACAAGUUUAGGAAAGCAGUUAAUCUAAAACUAAGAAAUAGAAGAGUGAUGAGAAGAUUUAUUACUUAUAUCUACCUUAUAUUUUUCACUGGUACCGAUUGUAUAAUCUAGGAUUGAUAUAAUUGUGAUUACAUAAAGUGUAUAUUAUCAGGCAUAGCUUUUGAUACGGGACUUAGUAUGCUUGAAUUUGAUGUAAUAAUAUGGAAUCUAAGAUAGAUGACGAACAACACUUUUGAUAAUAAAGCUCUUGCUUAUUGUUCAUGGGUCACACAUUGCAUUUGCUAGUAUGAUAAUUGAGUUUUGAGGCUUGAACAGAUAAUUCUCGUUGCACCAUAAACAUCCCAUCAUGUGUGAAUGAGAGAUGUUGGAAAUAUAUAUAUAUUAGAGGCUUCUAGGGUUGGUUGUAGGAGGUUUUUAGAGGAGAACCAAUCUUUGAUCAUGUUAACAGUCAAUUUGGACUGUUCAUCAAAUUUUGACUACCAUUUGACUUUGAAGGUUCUUUGAAGGAUGACUUGGGACUCAUGGGUAUGAAAUCAGAGGUUCCACAUCCAGACCCAUGGUAGGAAGAAGUUUGUACAAAAACAGAGAAAAGGGGGAAAUCUUUUCUCUGAGUCAGAAGGAUUAUAAUGGGUUUUAAAGAGGUUUAAACAAUUUGUGGCAUUUGGAGUUAGGAUUUGAGGUAUUGGUCCGAAGAAGUUCCACCAAUGAUGAAACCAAUUAGGUAGGCUUUGGACGGUUAUUUUUGAAUUAAAGAAAAAUAACCAAGAAUGGGAUUUUUUAGGGUUUUGGAUAAAAAAGGUGUUAUACUAGGCUUGUUGGUAAUCCCAGUAGGAAAAAGUCCGACAAUGUGGUAAACGGGUCUCAAAAUUUAAAGGAAAGAUCAGUAUGGUAAAAUCCAUCUUCCAUAGAAAGAAUGUUUUGAAAAUGGGUUUUAUCAAACCAAUCGGAGGUUUUCUUUGAAGGUGUUGGCUGGGAAAGCACAAUUUGGGAAGAUGAGCUUUCAGCAGACACAACAAUAUUUUGAGAAGAGGGUUUAUCAAUUUCUUUUUUAGGAGAAAUUUGGCUUUGAGAAAGGUUUUGUAGGGCGAGCAUGAGCUCUGGGGAUUUUGUAAUGGAACUCAUCCAUUGCUUUACUUGGUCAUCAGAAGAAAUAGAUUUGUAUUGGGCUCCAUGAUCUUCAACCAUUUCUAUCCAAGAUUUAAUGGGCAUGGCAGAAGAAAGUAGUUUUUCUUUAGAAGGGGUUGACUGAGGUUCUUUAGAAGGUUCUUGAGAACCAGUAACUUUGAGGACUGCUUUACCUUUAUCUUUUUUCUUUGGCGGCAUUAUCUGUUUUGAAGAAAUUCUCUGGUUAGAAAAUCAGGAACAGAAUUUUUGUCACCUUUAAUAAACUCAAUAUCAAAAUCAAAAACACUUAAAAUAGCUUGCCAUCGUGCAAAAAUCUGUUUUGAUGCAAUGUUUUGCACAUUUUUUUCUAAAACAUGUUUUGCUGCUUUGCUGCUGUACGGCCAAGGCGGAUGUACGGUACAGCAGUUCUGGCAAUCAUUCCAAUGUGCAGAAACAUAUUGUACUAUCUGUUCUUUGUCAUUUUCUUUUUGUUUUAAUAUACCUCCAUAACCUAUAUCAGAUGCAUCAGUUUCAACAAUUUUAGGUAAUGCAGGAUUUGCAAGAAAUAAGCAUGGAAUAUUUUUCACAGACUGCUUUAUUAAUCUAACAACUUUGGUAUGUUCUUCUGACCAGGCAACGGGAUUCUUUUUCAACCUAUCAUGCAAAGGUUUAAACAUCCUAUUGAUAUUGGGGCAAAAAUCGAGAACAUAAUUUCUGUACGGCCAAGGCGGAUGUACGGUACAGCAGAAGCAGCAACCUAUCAUGCAAAGGUUUAGACAUCCUAUUGAUAUUAGGGCAAAAAUCGAGAACAUAAUUUAAACUACCAAGAAAUCUUUGUAAUUGGGUUUUGUCCAGAAUUUUGUCUGGGAAUUUAUCUGCAAACAAAAGUGAUCUCUCUAUUGGAGUGAUAGUUCCUUUGGAAAUAUGAUGACCAAGGAACCGGACAUUUGUUUGGAAUAAAGAAAUUUUUGAACUAGAAAGGGCUAAUCCAGCCUUUUUUGUAACAAGAUAAAAAGUCUUUAAAUGUUUGAAAUGUUGAUCAAUACUUCGAGAAAAAAUCAACACAUCAUCAAUAUAAACGAUGUAAAACUCAGAAUAGGGAUUAUAAAUAUCGUUCAUGAUUCUUUGAAAUUCUGAGGGUGCAUUUUUCAAACCAAAAGGCAUUACUGUCCAUUCGUAUUGCCCAAAGGGAACAGUAAAAGCUGUUUUAUAUCGAUCUUUAGGGUGAAUUUGUAUUUGCCAAAAACCAGACUUCAUAUCAAAUUUAGAAAAAAUGAAAGCUGAACAAAGUUUUUGGAGCAAAUCUUUUUUAUUAGGUAUUGGGUACCUAAUCCAUUUUAAAGCUUUAUUCAAAGGUUUGUAAUUUAUCACAAGUCUAGGAACGCCUCUUUCAAUUUCAGAAUUUUUGUUGACAUAAAAAGCGGCACAAGACCAUGGGGACCUUGACUUAACAAUGAGUCCUUUUGACUCUAAAUCUUUGAUUUCAUUUUUGCAAUGUUGUUCCAAUUCCAUGUUCAUCUGGAUUGGACGUGCUUUAGUGGGUAUUUAUUUUUCAUCAAACGAAUUUUCAUAAGGCAAAUGUACCAAAUGUUGUUUUCUAUUCCAAAAAGCAGAUGGUAAAUCGGCACAUAUUUCUGCUGUACCGUACAUCCGCCUUGGCCGUACAGCAGUAGAUUUUCUCUUCUAAAUCACUGUGUAAAAAUGCAGUUUUUACAUCAAGUUGAACUAGUUCAAGAUCAAAUUGUGCAACCAUGGCUAGCAAAAUUCAAAUAGACGAGUGUUUCACAGCUGGAGAAAAUACCUCAUUGUAGUCUAUUCCUUCCUUCUGAGUGUAACCCUUCGCUACCAAUCUAACCUUGUAUCGAAUUUCAUUUUUACGAGGAAAUCCUUCCUUUUUUGCAUAUACCCAUUUGCACCCAAUUGCCUUCUUUUCCUUGGGUAAUGUAACUAACUCCCAAGUUUCAUUUUUGUGAAGAGACUGCAUUUUUUCGUUCAUUGCUUUCUUCCACUGUAUACUUUCUGGGUUACUUACUGCUUCUCUGUAAGUGGAAGGAACAUUAUCAUCUACAAUUGGAAGUGCAUAGGCCACCAUAUCAACAAAGCGAGCAGGUCUGCGAAUUUCUCUACGUGGCCUUCUAUAUGCAAUUGAAUCUUGUUGUUGUGAAGGUUCCUGGGUCAGAACCUCUUCAUCAUCAUCGGUCGAUGGAGAAUCACUAUCCAUCUCAUCAACACCAGCUGGAUCAGCUUUAACUUUUUCAAACUCCACCUGCUGCAAAUUGCUACUGGUCUUGUCAUCCUCUUGAGAAUCUUUUUGUUUCAACAUGGUUGAUUCAUCAAAAGUUACAUCUCUGCCGAAAAUAAUCUUCUUCGUAAUAGGACACCAGAGACGAUAUCCUUUUACUCCACCAAUUAUACCUAUGAACAAUGCUUUCUUUGCUCUUGGGUCUAACUUAGAUUCCUUUACAUAAUAAUAAGCAGUGGAACCAAAAACAUGUAAAGAAUCAUAAUCAGUAGCAGGUUUACAAGUCCACAUCUUCAUGGGUGUUUUGCCCUCAAUUGCAGUUGAUGGCAAACGGUUGAUCAAAUGGCAUGCAUAUACAACUGCUUCAGCCUAAAACUCUUUGCCCAAUCCAGCAUUGGACAACAUACACCGAACUUUCUCCAGUAUAUUUUAACAAUUGGGACUUUAGAAGUCUCGGCUUUAUUAAAAUCCAAAGUUUUCAAAAGUUUAUCAAGAUAUUCUUUUUGAAGAUUUGGAUCAGAAAUAUGAUUUACAAUUUCAAGAAAAAUUUCUUGGUCUUUAGUCAAAACAUUGAUUUUCUUUAAAUAUGAAUCGGAUUCAGAUUCACUACUGCUAGAUACAGAGUCAUCUGAGUCAAAAAGCUCAUCAACUUGAUAUGGAUCACUGUCUCCCGACAUGGAAGAUUCGGAAUCAGAAGAUUCGACCAGAAGGGGGGCUAAUUUGGAAAGGAUCUCUUCAUCGAGGUCAAGUUCAUGAAGCUUUUUGUUCAUCCUGCAACAAUUUGCAGUAUGACCUUUCAUGCCACAUUUAUGACAUAUAGCUUCUUUGUAAUUGAAAGGGGUUUUUGUUUUGGCUCUAAACUCUUUUCUUUUAGAGAAUUUAGAUUUCUUAUAAGGCCUCGAAGGUUUCUUAUAAGGAAGUUCCCUAAAAUUACGGAAGGGUUUCCUAAAAUUUUUUGAUUUGUAAUGUUUCCUGCGAGGUUUAGUAGAACACUCGCCAUUACAAUCUUUGGAAUAAGAAGUUUUAAAGGGGUCAUAAUUGAAUUGUUUGCAGAAACUGCCUAAUUCUUGUUUAGACUUCUUAAGCUCCCACUUAAGACGUUUCUGUAAUUUCAAAUCUUGACAAAUCUUUAAACCUUCUUUAUUGACGAAACUGACAAGUUCACCAUAGGUAAGCUCAUCAUAAGGAAUACGAUUAUCAUAAAGGGCUUUGAUGAAAUUUCUUACUUUUUCACCUAGAAGGGUAGGUAAUCCAGCAAGAAAUUUUUCUUUCCAGGUUAUAUGAUUUGCAUCAUCCCUUAGAAAUAGUCUGGUGAAAAAAGAGGUUUUAUAGCUCUGAAAUUCACUAAGUUUUCUACAUCUUAAAUUAUGUAGUAACUCAGCGUUUUUAUCACGAAGGUGUGAAGGGUCACCAAUGAAAUGGAGGGAAAUGGUUAAAAUUAGAGUAGCAACAGCAUCCUGAAUUGGAUUGUUGAGCUCAUCAAGAAUAGGGACUCCAUUUUCAUCGACUUGAAUGGAAUUUAGAAUGUCUAAUUGUUGCUGAUUAGUGAGAAGAUGAUCCCACCAACCUUUUAGUUGACCAGUAAAACCGGCAAUUAGGAUUUCUGAUAUAGCACGAUCAGAGGUUCCUGCUUGGGUUUUAUAGGCAUUGGCUGCCAUUGUCAUCUGUUGCAACAAUCCUAGGAUAUUGUACUCGGACAUGCCGUCAAUAUUCCACUCAUAGACUGAAGAUGCAUUAUAUCUGGAUUGAUUUAAUGCACUUGGUCUAUUAUCUAUUGCUAGAUCCGAUGAAGUCUUGACAGUAGGAAUGGCUAAUUCCCAAUGGAUUUUGUUGGCUUUAGGAGUGGGUUCCUCUUGGAAGGCUUCUACGUCCGAAGAGGCUAUAGAAGUUUGGUCAUCUUUCUCUAAUACUCCAAUCUUGCUAGAUUGAGGAGUAUCAGGGGCUAUCUGAACUUUGCUAGAUGAGGAAGAAGCAGCUUCUAUCCUAUCUAAUUGUUCUCUAAUGGCUUUACUAUCACUUUGAGGUCACCCAUGAGGGAAGCAUGAUCAAGAGCAAGUGAUCAUUUUGAGUUCUAUAAUAUCUUAAAUAUUAUAUUGUAAGAUAUUAAGUAAUCAUUAAGAAGAUUAUCAAUCCAACAAUUGUUUAAGCUUAUUUAGUGAUCAUUGAGAAGAUAAUCACUACUCUUGGAAUGCUAUAAAUAGAGUGCAAAUCCAUAGAGAAAGAGAGGUUAAGCAAAAAAUAAGUAAAGUGCAAUUUGGAGAAAAUUCAAUACAAAAGAAGUUUAGAGGGUUCUUGCAACAUGAAUUGAGAGGAUUUUCUGACUUUGUGAUAAUCCUCCGACCAUAAAUCAAUAGCACAACCUUGGUUUAUCGAUUUUCUGCAUAUAACCCAUGUAUGUAUUUAAAUUCGGAUUUACAAGUUUUUAUCUUGAUUCUUGCUCGAAAAUCAACAAUACGAAAUGUACGGAUAUUUUCAGAAACGAAGAUGAUCGAUCAAAGCACUUCCAGGAGAAGCACCCUUGCCCACCGGCCAAAGGAAGACACACUCAGUGAACUCGGAGAAAGAAUCGCCUUUAGUUGUUUUCUUGAUUUUUUUUUUUUUGUUUAAGCUUUUUGGUGUUUAGGUUUAUGAAGGGGAAGCAACACAAGUUGCUUCAGGUAUUGCGCUCUUUCUCGUUCUUUAUAAGUUUUGGCCAUUUCUUUAGGUUCGACUUGUUAAUUUCUUAAAUAAACUGUUAUUUUAGUUUGAUUUAGGUUACUAGAACAGAGUAGUGGGAUAGAUGGAUUUUUUGUCUGUGAGUACCUAGACCUUGAUCUGCAUUCAUUCAUCACCAUGCAUAAGACCACUUUGAAUUUGCUCAUUAUAAAGGUAAGUAGGAUUGUUUACUUUAUUCUAUCUAGUACUUUUUUUGCUCGCUGUGAUACUUUGAAUGAGUAUAGUUGUUCUAUCAGAAAGCAUAUUUUACAUGGUUUGAUGAUUUCUUUUUGUAAAAUUAAAAUGCUUGAAAUUAUUGUUUCACAUUUGUUUUGUUAGUGGAGAUGAAUCUUUUCACAGAAGGAAAGCAUACAAUCUUCAUUUCUUGUGUUAGAAAAUUGAAAUGAAUAGAUUUCAAAUAGUAUGUUAACGAUUCAAUAUCUUUUUGGCUUUUUAAUUGUCUGUCUAUAUAUUUUUGAGAGUAAACAUUUUUUUACAUUCAUCUGUUCAAGAUUGUAGUAUUGACCUACGAUUUUGGGGUAAUUUAUGUAGUCGUAUAAAUCCGCCAACGUGGGUUUGACAGAUUUUAUUUGUACCUUUAAUUUGUUAGCAUUUUUUAGAUUUUUUUUUAAUAAUAAUAUGGUAUGACAUGUAAUCUAUCUAUAAGUUAGAUAAGCCAAUAUUCGACCUGAGCCCGACAAAGAUAACCUCAAUUAAAUAUACUCCUAAUCUCCUACCGGUUAAUAAUUUGGGUAAUUAAACACUUUUUUUUUGUGUUUUAAUUUCUCAUUUCAUCUCGAAGCAUCAGAUAGUUUUGGAUGCAAGUCCAUCAGUUUUUUCGAAAGUACACCCACUGAUUUUCCAAAUUCUUUUUUUUUUUUUUUUCUCAAAAGAUUUGAAUCCAAGUGAAAAAAUUGCGGAUUCAUAAAAAAUAAUAAGAACUCUUUGAAGCGGAAGUAGAAAAUCACAUGUCAAUGGAAAGUGUACAAAAUCACAUGUCAAUGGAAAGUAAACAAAAUCACAUAUCAAUGAAAUUGUAAAUAUCGUGCAGUGAGAAGCUAGCAGCCUAUGUAUAUAUAUUUAGAUCAAUAACAGUCAUUAAGCAAAGAGAUCAAGCCAAAGUUUUCACAAUACAGAGAACCUUGUAGCAAGGCAGUAGAAUGAAACUACUAACGCCAAAGAAUGUAAAGUGUCUGAAUUUUGGUUAUAAUUUCUAUCUCUAGCUGUAUUAAUCGAAGUACCGGUGUGCCAGCCAAUCCCAAAUUUUACGAAGAUAAUAACAAGUACGCUGAGCAGACCGCAGCUAAUUUACGAACUUCUGUAACUAACAGACCUUCAAUCUAGUUAGUUGGAUUAAAUAUAAAAAAUCUGACAGAUGCUAAUCAGUUUAAAUUAAAAGUAAGAUGUUAGGACGACGGGCUAAAAGGGGCUUCGGCAGCCGGUAGAAUGGGUUAAUCUUUAUAUAUACAUCUCAAUAUAUAAAGUUCAUGACUUUCAAAUUGUUUAAUAUAACCCAUAUUAAAUAACAAAAAAAAAAAAAGACAAUUACUAUUAUAUUGUAAGUAUGUAUUUAUUAAAAUAAAUUUAAAAUGUAAAUCUAUAAAGAACAACCAAAAUAAAAUACAAUUUUCUUUAAAAUAAUUUUUGAAACUUUUAAUUAGUAAAAAAUAAUAUUUAUACUUAUAUUGAAAUAUUUCAAAUAAUUAAUUUAAAAAUUAUAUGAAAAAGUAAACAAAUUGUGUCAUGUGUAACUUUUCUCAUUCAAAUUAACAGAAUUUAGGAAUGGAAAUUUGUAUAUGUAUCUUUUUGGCAAUGUUAGAUUUUUCUUUUUUCAGUCGCUUUUUUGUAAUGAACCUUUUCCCUAAAUAAUAUGCUGGAAUGAAAAAAUAUUGUAGGUCCUAAUACAACUUAUAUUACUUUUGACAACCAUCUAAUUCUCCACUAAAACCACAAUAAUCUUUCUCUUAAUCUUAGUUUCUCUCCACAUCAAAUUUAGUACUAAAAAAAUUACUUAAAAAUCAAUAAAUAUUCUCAAUUCCAAGCACCGGAGACCUUGUGGCAUGAUGAUAAUUAUAAUUCGUUCCUAUGAUAGUUUUUCUACAAAAAAUCAACUUAGUGACAAAGAUAGAAAACAACUAUGGUGCAACAUUUAUAGGAGAAUUUUUUUAAAAAUAAAAUCAAUGUGUAAUAAUUAUUUAGUUAUAUAGGCCGCAAGUAUAUUCUGAUAUUUGGAAGGAUGUGUAAACUAAAAUUUAAUUUUUUUGAACUUAUUAAAGAAUGUACAAAUGAAAGAGUGUUCUAAGUAAUCCCAUCAUAAGUUAUAUUUCGCCUUUUUAUUAAUAAUUAAUUUUUACAUUUCGUCAAGUUCAAUAAUAAAAGAAACUAAUAUGGCAUCACACUCACAGGGUGCGUUUCCAAAUUCAGCAACCGCAUACAUUUAUAAAACUGGUUUUAUUUACCAGAUAGAGAGUGGUCAGUCCAGUUUGGUUUCUCAUCCUGCAUCGCAUGUGCCACACUCAAAAUUAAUAACUUGCCCCAUUGAGUGCCAACUACCAAGCAUCAUUAUUUUCAAUCACUUGAAAUCAUAUAGCAGACUUAGACACUUAAAUUAAGGGAGUUUAAUUGAAAAAAAAAAUUAACUUGGGGUGUUUAUUUUUUAUUUGUUUAUUUGAACACAUUUUAAGUCUCAUAAACUCAAAUUAUAUUAUUUUCUUUUAAAUUUUAAAAAAUAAUAGUAAUAAAUUACUUAUUUUAAAUGUUGAGCUUGUUCUGGCCACAUUUGUGAAGGUAUCUUUUUUCCAUUAUUUUCUUUAAAAUUUUUAAAAGUAAUAGUAAUAAAUUAUUUAUUUUAUAAUUUGAGUUUGUUUUGGUCACAUUUACUAGGGUAUCAUUUUUCUAUGUAAUUUCUACAAAAUAUUUUAAAAAAAGUUAUGUGGCUAUUGGGAUUUGAAUCAAGUCUUCAAAACCACUAAAUAACACUAUUACCACUAAACUAUAAAUUUUUUCUCAUAUAAGAAAUGUAUUCAAAUUCUUUUUAUUUAAUCAUUUUAGAAGAGAUUGGAGGCACAUUUUAAAAAAGCCUUAUCCUGGUUUAACGGCCCUCGUUGUGCCAUUCGGCCUUUGGUGCCAAGAGAGUAUGAAUUGGCACUUAAGGCCGCACAACACAACAAGGGAACAAGCGGGUCAUGAUAUUUGGUAUCAGAGCCAUAAUCACUUGUGGGGUGAUUGCGUUGUUUGAGAGGAAGGACGUCAAACCUCACUCAUGAUGACCAAAGGGGGACGGAGCAAAACUCCAAUGCGAAGAAGGGGAAGAAUAACAAGAAGAAACGCACAAAUUCCAGCUCACAAAGCAUUGUAAGCUUUCUUUAAGUAAUAAGAGUUCUUUCCUCCCAUCUUGAGCGAGUUUGAGAACCAUGGAAACAUUUGAGAAGUGAAAUAUGAAAUACUGGGUGGAUUUUAGAACCACUUGGCAAUGCAAGCUUAUAAGCUACAAGACCAAUUCGAGCUAGCACAGAGAAAUGACCAUAGUACCGUUUAGCUAGCUUUUGACAAGAAUGAGUUGCCACUGUGGAUUGGCGAUAGGGCUGAAGUUUCACUAGAACUUGGUCCCCAAUAGCAAAUUGAGCUUGACGCAAAUUCUCUUUCAAAGAGCGGAGUAACGCAUCCCGCUCACUUAAUGCUUCAUCAAGAGCUUGGAUUGAAGUAGAGCCCUUGGAGUAAGGAGGGAUUGAUGGAGGUGGCCGCCCAAAAAGAGCCUGAAAAGGAGAUAUUUUGAUGUUGCUAUGAUAAGAAGAAUUGUCAGAAAAUUCAGCCCACCCGAGUAGAGAUACCCAUGAAAUUGGUUUUUUUUCAGUGAAAGCAUGGAGAUAUUGUUCCAAUCCGUGAUUGACAACCUCCGAUUGUCCAUCUGUUUGUGGGUGAUAGGUGGUACUGUGGCGAAGAGUAGUGCCACUUAACUCAAAUAAUUUCUUCUAAAAAUCGCUCAAGAAUACAGGAUCACAAUCAGAGAUAAUAGAGCUAGGAAAACCAUAAAGCUUGAUAACCAUAUCCACAAAUAAUUCGGCUAUCUUCACAGCAGUAAAUUGAGUUGGAAGGGGUCCAAAGUGCGCUGAUUUAAUAAGGCGAUCAACAACUACCAAGAUCACGGAGAAACCGCGAGAAACCGGAAGGCUAGUAAUGAAGAGACUGCACUGGCCCCGCUGGUGCUUGAGUGGAAUAUUUGGUUUGUUGACACACAAGGCACUCAGCCACAAAUCACUCAACAUCACUACGCAUUUUAGGCCAAAAGAAAGUAGAUGCCAAUCGGACUAACAUGCGUUUGAUGCCUGCAUGUCCAGCAAGUGGAGUAGAGUGGAAUUCAGCCAAUAAAACAGCUUUUAAUGAUGAUAAAGGACUGAUAUAAUAGCAAUGGUGAUAAAGAAGAAACCUAUUUUGGACCGAGUAAUCACUUGAAAGAGAGCCUGAAACAAAUUGGUGAUGAAGAUCAGUCAUAUUAGGAAGAGUGGAAUUCUCGGAAUGUAGGGUUGCUAACAACUCAAACGAAGGAUGACUAAGAAAAGGCAAACAAGAGGCAGGCCUUGUUAAUGGUUCCACACUAGCCUCCUCAUGAACGCGUGAUAAGGCAUCUGCUGCAAGAUUAGUGCAACUUGGUUUAUAAUCAAUGCGGAAGUGAUAGCCUAAUAAUUUUCUGAUGUAAACUUGCUGAUCCGGAGUCUAGACUACUUGUUGUAGGAGUUCUUUAAUGCUUUUAUGAUCCGUUCGGACUACAAAAAAUUUGUCUAACAAGUAUUAGUGCCAUUUAUGCACUGCUUCAACAAUAUCAGUCAAUUCUUUGAGGUAUGUAGAAUAAGCACGAAGUCGAGGGCCUAAUUUCUUGCUGAAGUAACAUAUGGGGUGUCCAUAUUACAUAAGCACAACCCUUAUCCCCACAAUAGAUGCGUCAGUCUCAAGAAUGAAUUCAGAGUCAAAAUCUGGCCGCCGCAACACCGGGGCUUCCACCAUUGCUCUACUCUCUUAAGAGCUUCAAAUGCUUCGGUUGUUGCUUGUGUCCACUUGAAGGCGUCUUUACAUAGUAAGUCGAUAAGGGGUGCUGCUAAAGAAGCAUAGCCAUGAAUAAACCACUGAUAAUAACCCGUCAAACCUAAAAAACC